UUUUCCCCCAGGGUAAGGAGGCCAGGGUCUGCAGGCCAGGGAGAGGAGCCCCGGUGCAGGAGCGGGCGGGGCAGCAGGAGGGCCCGCUCCAGCCACCCAGAAGUGGGCGUGGGCUAGAAUUCCGCUCCCAGCCUUCCAGAAGCUGCAAUUUUACAACCUCACAACAAGCGUCCCCUAGCAAAGCUGCACCGCCAUUUCCUGUGCUUGGGAACUGGAGGCAAGGAGAAGCCCGCAGGAGAGGUGCCGUGGGAGCAGCACAGCAGGUGACCGCGUCCUCUCUUCUCUGGUAGACAUGGUGGAGUGCAGCCAGUUGGCCAUCUGCACAGCCAGGCCUCUUGGUCCCACCUUCUUGGUCCUGAUUCCCCCAGCCCCAAGGCCCCCGGGGGUUCCAGUGCUAACAGAUAAGUAGAUCUGAAGUCAUCUUGGCGAUGUGGGGAGGAGGAGGAGGGAGGACAAAGAUACAUAAGAAGUGUUUUCCCCACAUCACAUUUUUAUGCCUUACAUUUGAUUUCCUCGGAAUCACAUUUUUAUUCCUAAAAAACUCCACUUUUAUUCCUUUGAUACAAAAUAACAGCUAAUAACAGCUUUAAAUUCUCAGGCGUGUGUUUAUAAGUUGGUUUAAUGAGGGACAAUUUACCAAGCAAUGAGGUCGGGUUGAGAAUGGGAGCUGGAAGCAUCUCCUCUGAGGGGCGAGGGGAGGGAAUGUGCACCAGGCCCUGCAGGGAUGGGGAGGAACCAACAGCUUCCUCCUUCCCACCCUCUGAUCUCCUGCCAGGGACCCCAUGGAUCGCAACUAGAGGUCAGAGGCUUGGGAGCUGGGAGCUGGGAGGAUGCAGAGUAGGGGAGGAGGGAUGUGGACUCCCGGUCCAAGCCAGGACCUCCAGCAGGAGAGGAGCUGCUUCAGAGGGCAGUGACUGGGGAGUAUUUUGGUCGGGAGCAACAUGUUCUUGUUUGUGUCUAGAAAGGCCAGCUGACUGCUGUGGACUUUAAGUUUGUGGUGACGGGAACAACUACAAGACAGUUGGGAGGUUGGGGAAUAUGGUCAUUUGGGAGACGUGGGGGUGUCCCAGUUGGGUACGGAGAGGGUGGGCAGGCAGGAGAGAGAAGAAGGAAGUGGACCAGGGGUGCUCGAUGGUCUGGGAGCAUGAAGGAGAAGCCAUCCACCCCGACUCAAAUGACGAGGAGUUUGCUGCUUGAGGGAACCCGGGGGCUGGCCGUGCAGCACAAGGAGCAGAGACUGGCAGCAGCUUUUAUCCUAAGGUGGAUCUUUCUGCCUUUCUGGGCAGCCUCCCAAGUCUCUGCUCCAGGUGACCAGCUUCUCUCGAGGGCCCACGGCCAGCAUGACAGGACACAGCUACCAGCCUUUGCUGCACCCCAGAUGCUUGACUCCAGGGACCUCCACAACAGCAGCUCUGUGUCUAAUGCUCGAGCUCAGUUCCAAGGAGUCUGGUUGGGGUCACCUUUCUGAGCUGGGCUCCCAAGUCACAGCUGACACACCAACUUAUGGGUUUGUGUCCUUGGUUCAGGUAUCUGCUGUAAUCGGCUAUGCCCAGGGGUGUGGGAUGGGUUAAGAAUGACAAACCUCCAGGAUGGCAGUGAGCUGUCCUAGUGGAGGUCCUCACCUUGAUCACCCAGCCGCUAGCUAACUCACCAACCGACCACAGAUGCAGGAGAGCAGCUGAGACCAGCAGAAGAAUGGCCCAGCUGAGCACAGCCAGAGCUCUUGACCAAGAGAAUGAUGACAAAUGCAAUGGCUGUUGCUGUAAGCCACUAGUUUUGGGGAUGUUUAUUAUGCAGCAAAAGCUGACUGAAACAGAAAUUGGAAUCCAGAACUGGGGUGCUGUUGUACAAAAACCUAAACCAUGUGCCGUAGGUUUGGGACCAAACAGUGGGCAGAAAAUGGAGAAGUGGCAAGGAAACUAUUAGCAAGGGCUGAGAAAGUGGAAAACUGUUCGUGGAGUCUGGAAAGGUAUAAAAAAUGCUGCAGCUUCUGGAAAAAUGGUGUUACAUGGUAGCCCAACAUCUGGCAAAUGUUAUCUGCUGUAACUUAUAAGACAGAAAAUACACCUGACAAACUUGAGGGAUCUCAUCAAGAAGAUUUCUCAGUAGAAUGUUGAAACUGACAGGUAGUUUCAUUUCACUGUGUGAGAUCCAGAGAGAAAGAGAGAGAGAGGUGAGCUGAAAUGAGAACCACCCAGUUUGCAAGAGGAAUCUAGAGGAAGCAGAGAGGAGGCUGGGUUGCUGGACUGGAAUAAAACUGUUUUCAAGAAGUGGUCACGGGGUAAAGAUCAAAUCAAAUGUGUAGCUUAAGUCCUUUGUUAAAACCUCAGAAAGACUUCAGGCAGUGGCCAGAAGAGCCUCCCAGGGAAAUAAACAAACUUCUAAGAAUCUUAAGAGUGUUGUCCCAUAGCACCCUCAUAUCAUGCCCAAGUCAAAGAGAGGACUGUCUAGAAAAGAUCUGUGGGCAUGACGCUGUUGGGUGAAGAGGACUUGCCUCAUAUUCAUAAGUAAUUCACAGAGUUUUAAAGGGAAUUGUACUGGUGAAAGCCCCACAGUGCAAACUGAGACAGUUCAAGUUGCACACCGGCUUCUGGGUGCCUAAAUUUCAUUGUGGAAGAACCAGAGUGAGAAAAGCGAAUCAGUUGCCCAUGGGGGCCCUUCCUUAUGGAAAUAAAGGACUCCUGUGAGAGCAGAGCUCAGAGAACAGUGGACUGCAGCCCUGUCCUACUUAUAAAUCACAUGUCUUGUUUUUCCCAUUCCCUUGUCUCCCCUUCUCCAUUCUCUCACUUGUGCUUCCUGGGAUCAUCCUCAAAUACAUUUCUCCCAUUCCAGGCCUCAUCUUAGGGUCUAAUUUUGGAAAAACCAACUUAUGACUCUAGGCAACCCAUUUUGUCUCUGACUAUUUAUUAUUUAUUUGAGACAGAGUCUUGCUCUGUUGCCCAGACUGGAGUGC
Cercocebus atys (sooty mangabey) is the source of this 2953-nucleotide long non-coding RNA. RefSeq lists it as uncharacterized. Lineage: Eukaryota; Metazoa; Chordata; Mammalia; Primates; Cercopithecidae. The transcript has 3 exons. The record is from RefSeq and is a predicted model, not a curated record.